UUGCACAGCAUCUUGGCCAGUGUAGAGUCUCGGAGCAGCACGUCUUCGUUUGUUUAAUUCCCAAACGAUGCGGAUAAACAUAUGAUUUCAGUAACAGCUAGCAACCCAACCAGCCAGCAAAGAGCGAUCACUUUGUAGGUUCGUCGCCGACUCCGGAUGCUGUGUAGUUUGAAUGGAUGGCACAGGGACAGAAAUCUCUCGUAUGACGACAUAGUGACCAGUGCAAGGGAUGAUAUGAAUGACGAUUCUUUCUGUCGUUUUGAUGGUCCAGAGACACGACAAUUCAGUUGUUCAGAAGUCGCCUCCAAUACGAGUCACCUGAUGUAAUGGAGAGAUGACGGUAGCUACCUCAAUCGUAGUUGAUAUAAAUUUAAAAUCAUGAACUGUCGGAUGUUAUGUUUAAACCAGCACUGCAAUCAAACCGACACUUGUGUCUCUCCGAAGUUUAAGUCUGCUCUGUUGAUUUCUCAGUUUAAUAAGUAUCAACACAGCAUCACUGGAUGAGACUGUGUCAAAAUUAAGGCUUUGUUCACAAGAUAACGUCGACCGCACGUGCGUUCAUGAUAUACGCGGAUGCUCUCAGCAUCUGAUGCGUGGCUGCAAAUCCAACAAUGGCUCCAGAAAUUCUUGUCAGCAUUUAUUAAGGUUUUCCCUAGUGUUUAUUUUUCUGAAGAGAGACCGAUGGGAAAUGUUUGCUCCAUUAUUACUACUUCAUUAUCCAAUGAUUGCUUUUCUUUGCGGAGAACGGACGUCCAAUUAGAGUCAGAUGGGAAGUGGUUUACUCUAUACAUGAUUAGAAUGGUGUUGAAUUUGAAGUAUAUUGCUUUACGGCUGACUGAUGGGAUUGUCGC
Molecule: long non-coding RNA, 851 nt
Organism: Patiria miniata (bat star)
Lineage: Eukaryota; Metazoa; Echinodermata; Asteroidea; Valvatida; Asterinidae
Exons: 3
Source: RefSeq, a predicted model, not a curated record